UACGUAGGGACCAAGCGUUGUUCGGAUUUACUGGGCGUAAAGGGCGCGUAGGCGGCAAUUCAAGUCAGUUGUGAAAUCUCCGGGCUUAACUCGGAAAGGUCAACUGAUACUGUGCGACUAGAGUGCAGAAGGGGCAACUGGAAUUCUCGGUGUAGCGGUGAAAUGCGUAGAUAUCGAGAGGAACACCUGCGGCGAAGGCGGGUUGCUGGGCUGACACUGACGCUGAGGCGCGAAAGCCAGGGGAGCGAACGGG
RNAcentral lists this ribosomal RNA (253 nucleotides) under uncultured bacterium. Its description in RNAcentral is "partial 16S ribosomal RNA". It matches the Rfam family "Bacterial small subunit ribosomal RNA", at positions 524 to 776 of the family's 1533-position model. The record is from RNAcentral.